ACGGCCCACGGUCAAACAUUCGCCUGUCCAACCCGUGACUGGGGGGAUGCCGCGUGGAGCCUACAGAGAAGCAAAUUGCCAGCGCCAAGACCACUUGCGCCCGCCUAUUUUCCCACGGGCACGUGUGAUAAUAGCACUGAGACAUCC
Molecule: small nucleolar RNA, 147 nt
Filed under: Chlamydomonas reinhardtii
Lineage: Eukaryota; Viridiplantae; Chlorophyta; Chlorophyceae; Chlamydomonadales; Chlamydomonadaceae
Description: CrACA38c snoRNA
Source: RNAcentral